Molecule: long non-coding RNA, 383 nt
Filed under: Gallus gallus (chicken)
Lineage: Eukaryota; Metazoa; Chordata; Aves; Galliformes; Phasianidae
Source: RNAcentral
GUAAAUAUCCAUAGAUUAGAUAAAACAUAAAAACUCCAGAAACACAGAUGAAAAAUUGAGCAGGUUUGUUAAAUUUGCUAAGAUUAAUGCCAAGAACUAUAACAUCAUCUACUGAUUUGAUAUGGGGUGACAUAGUCUGAGAUUUGGAAGGUACACUGAUGGAAACGUAUUUUCUUGCUGAAGUGAAUUUCAGAUCCAUGACUCCUCGUUCGCUGCAUUCGGUGCUGCUGUUAUCUUCUUUCUGUCCUUCUUUUUCCUCGUGUCACCUGACUGAAAGCGUCGCGCUCAGCCUCCUCCCCGCUCACUCCCACCGCGUACCUGCGGGGAAAGGGAGGAGGACAGCUGGACAGGAAGCACCGCUGCUGCCCCGCUUCCUCCCUCCC